Molecule: transfer RNA, 73 nt
Filed under: Trichonephila inaurata madagascariensis
Lineage: Eukaryota; Metazoa; Arthropoda; Arachnida; Araneae; Nephilidae
Rfam family: tRNA
About the family: Transfer RNA (tRNA) molecules are approximately 80 nucleotides in length.
Source: Rfam by way of RNAcentral
GUCCCUGUAGCGCAAUGGAUAACGCGUUGGGCUUCUAAUCCAAGGGUCGUGGAUUCGCAUCCCACGUGGGAUG